This 73-nucleotide transfer RNA is filed under the name Stegodyphus mimosarum. It matches the Rfam family "tRNA". From Rfam's summary of the family: Transfer RNA (tRNA) molecules are approximately 80 nucleotides in length. Lineage: Eukaryota; Metazoa; Arthropoda; Arachnida; Araneae; Eresidae. The record is from Rfam by way of RNAcentral.
GCCUUCGUGGUAUAGUGGUCAACACGCUUGUCGCGUAUUCUAGAGGUACGUGGUUCAAAUCCCGGCGAGGGCA